UAACGAAUCUUCCGCAAUGCACGAAAGUGUGACGGAGCGACGCCGCGUGAUGGAUGAAGUCCCUCUGGGACGUAAACAUCUUUUAUGAGGGAGAAAGUUUAUUGAUAGUACCUCACGAAUAAGGGGUUGCUAAACUCGUGCCAGCAGCAGCGGUAAUACGAGUGCCCCGAGCGUUAUCCGGAAUCAUUGGGCGUAAAGGGUGUGUAGGUGGCAUUGUUAGUCGAUUGUUAAAACCUGGGGCUUAACCCCAGAUGUGCGAUCGAAACGGCAAAGCUAGAGGAUGGCAGGGAUGUAUGGAACUCAUGGAGUAGGGGUGAAAUCCGUUGAUAUCAUGGGGAACACCGAAAGCGAAGGCAGUACAUUGGGCCACUCCUGACACUGAAACACGAAAGCGUGGGUAGCGAAUGGGAUUAGAUACCCACGUAGUCCCUGAGCGGGCUGGCAAGGCGCAU
Molecule: ribosomal RNA, 452 nt
Filed under: uncultured bacterium
Lineage: Bacteria
Description: bacterial SSU rRNA
Rfam family: Bacterial small subunit ribosomal RNA
Source: RNAcentral